UACGUAGGGUGCAAGCGUUAAUCGGAAUACUGGGCGUAAAGCGUGCGCAGGCGGUUGUGCAAGACAGAUGUGAAAUCCCCGGGCUUUAACCUGGGAACUGCAUUUGUGACUGCACGGCUAGAGUGUGGUCAGAGGGGGGUAGAAUUCCACGUGUAGCAGUGAAAUGCGUAGAUAUGUGGAGGAAUACCGAUGGCGAAGGCAGCCCCCUGGGAUAACACUGACGCCUCAUGCACGAAAGCGUGGGGAGCAACAGG
RNAcentral lists this ribosomal RNA (254 nucleotides) under uncultured bacterium. Its description in RNAcentral is "partial 16S ribosomal RNA". It matches the Rfam family "Bacterial small subunit ribosomal RNA", at positions 524 to 775 of the family's 1533-position model. The record is from RNAcentral.